CACCGGUGGUAAGAUCAUAAGUGAGAAGGGUGUAGGAACCCUUCUGUCAGUCACGGCGAGCUUGAAGCAAUGCAUCAAGCAGUUUAGAAAGCUGAACUUUCUCAAGGGAGAUAGGGAUCCAGAUCCCCAACCUUGCUUUAGAAUGUUCCACGCUACUCAAGCUCAUACAAAUGCUCAAAUGAACAAGUUUUUGGGCACCAUGGCUGAGUGGUAUAGGUAUGCAGAUAAUAGGAAAAAGAUUGUGAACUUCUGCUCUUACAUCGUGAGGGGCUCGCUUGCAAAGCUAUAUGCUGCAAAAUACAAGCUCCGGUCAAGAGCAAAAGUAUACAAAAUCGGUGCGCGUAACCUGAGCCGCCCAUUGAAGGAGAAGAAAGGGCAGUCUCCUGAGUAUCAGAAUUUGCUAAGGAUGGGCCUUGCCGAGUCAAUCGAUGGGCUCAAAUAUACAAGGUUGUCUCUUGUACCGGAGGCAGAUUAUACUCCAUUCCCUAGUAACUGGAGACCGGAUCAUGAAAAGUCAUUGCUGGAAUAUAUAAAACUAGAGGAUCCAAAGACAUUGGAGGAGCAACAAAGCAGCAUAAGGGAACAAGGUCUUGUUUCACCACAAGAUUACAUUUCAAUGCUUGUUUGGAAUUACAAAAGGAGUACUCUUCCUAGGGAUCAGCUCUCCUUUGUUAAGAGCGAUGAAAGUACGGUGGGAAAUCAACAGUUGCUGGUUGGCUCGAACCAGGAUGAAGAUGACCGCAAAAGCAACGAGGAAGAAAAUGAUGAAAAUAUGGAUGCAGCACAAAUGUAACAAAAGGUUUGUAAUGUACUCACAAAUCAAUAUUUUAGUUUAGCUUAUGCUUUCUUUGAUUACCCAUACGUUCUUUCAAUAUAUAUUGGACAUGCCGAGAGUUUGAGUCUUAUUUUUGUUUCCUGCUAUAAUUUACAUUACAAAUUGACAAUAUUUUUAGCUACUGCCUCUCUCCGUUUGGUGCUAGUGAUGGUAUAACAUACUUAUGUAUUGUUAUAUUUGCCACUUUAAUAAACUGUAGGAUACUACCAUGAUCACUAUCAACAAACCAAUCUUUAGUCCAACUAUGAGUUGUUGGCUACAUGGAAUUCUAUUAUGCUGUUCAUCAUAAACUCAUGAAUCACUACGUAUUGUAGGACAAUGAGAGCCUUCCCAUAGAACAUAUAACUAAAGGUAUAAUGUUUCUUGACCAUGUGUUGUGUAGGAGAGUUGUUUAUCCCACUCUUAGGUACACUGCCACCGGUGGUAAGAUCAUAAGUGAGAAGGGUGUAGGAACCCUUCUGUCAGUCACGGCGAGCUUGAAGCAAUGCAUCAAGCAGUUUAGAAAGCUGAACUUUCUCAAGGGAGAUAGGGAUCCAGAUCCCCAACCUUGCUUUAGAAUGUUCCACGCUACUCAAGCUCAUACAAAUGCUCAAAUGAACAAGUUUUUGGGCACCAUGGCUGAGUGGUAUAGGUAUGCAGAUAAUAGGAAAAAGAUUGUGAACUUCUGCUCUUACAUCGUGAGGGGCUCG
RNAcentral lists this long non-coding RNA (1524 nucleotides) under Arachis ipaensis. RNAcentral's name for it is "long non-coding RNA (AIPA_LNC000870)". The record is from RNAcentral. Lineage: Eukaryota; Viridiplantae; Streptophyta; Magnoliopsida; Fabales; Fabaceae.